ACGGGAGGCAGCAGUGAGGAAUAUUGGUCAAUGGGCGGAAGCCUGAACCAGCCAUGCCGCGUGAAGGAUUAAGGCCCUAUGGGUCGUAAACUUCUUUUGAGCGGGAGCAAUAAGGGUCACGUGUGACCCGAUGAGAGUACCGUUCGAAUAAGCAUCGGCUAACUCCGUGCCAGCAGCCGCGGUAAUACGGAGGAUGCGAGCGUUAUCCGGAUUUAUUGGGUUUAAAGGGUGCGUAGGCGGGAUAUUAAGUCAGCGGUGAAAGUUUGCGGCUCAACCGUAAAAUUGCCGUUGAAACUGGUGUUCUUGAGUGUAAACGAGGUAGGCGGAAUGUGACGUGUAGCGGUGAAAUGCUUAGAUAUGUCACAGAACCCCGAUUGCGAAGGCAGCUUACCAGCAUACAACUGACGCUGAGGCACGAAAGCGUGGGUAUCAAACAGGAUUAGAUACCCUGGUA
Molecule: ribosomal RNA, 454 nt
Filed under: uncultured Porphyromonadaceae bacterium
Lineage: Bacteria; Pseudomonadati; Bacteroidota; Bacteroidia; Bacteroidales; Porphyromonadaceae
Description: bacterial SSU rRNA
Rfam family: Bacterial small subunit ribosomal RNA
Source: RNAcentral